CCUACGGGUGGCUGCAGUAGGGAAUCUUCCGCAAUGGACGAAAGUCUGACGGAGCAACGCCGCGUGAGCGAAGAAGGCCUUCGGGUCGUAAAGCUCUGUUGUUAGGGAAGAACAAGUAACGCAGUAACUGGCGUUACCGUGACGGUACCUAACGAGAAAGCCACGGCUAACUACGUGCCAGCAGCCGCGGUAAUACGUAGGUGGCAAGCGUUGUCCGGAAUUAUUGGGCGUAAAGCGCGCGCAGGCGGGUCCUUAAGUCUGAUGUGAAAGCCCACGGCUCAACCGUGGAGGGGCCUUGGCAACUGGGGGACUUGAGGGCAGAAGAGGGGAGCGGAAUUCCACUGGUAGCGGUGGAAUGCGUAGAGAUGUGGAGGAACACCAGUGGCGAGGGCGGCUCGAUGGUCUGUAACUGACGCUGAGGCGCGAAAGCGUGGGGAGCAAACAGGAUUAGAUACCCUUGUAGUC
This 465-nucleotide ribosomal RNA is filed under the name uncultured bacterium. RNAcentral's name for it is "bacterial SSU rRNA". It matches the Rfam family "Bacterial small subunit ribosomal RNA", at positions 338 to 795 of the family's 1533-position model. The record is from RNAcentral.